RNAcentral lists this ribosomal RNA (810 nucleotides) under Actinobacteria bacterium GUDS1505. RNAcentral describes it as "bacterial SSU rRNA". It matches the Rfam family "Bacterial small subunit ribosomal RNA", at positions 62 to 889 of the family's 1533-position model. The record is from RNAcentral. Lineage: Bacteria; Bacillati; Actinomycetota; Actinomycetes.
UCGAGCGGAAGGCCCUUCGGGGUACUCGAGCGGCGAACGGGUGAGUAACACGUGAGCAACCUGCCCCAGGCUUUGGGAUAACCCCGGGAAACCGGGGCUAAUACCGAAUAUGACCUCCGAUCGCAUGGUUGGUGGUGGAAAGUUUUUCGGCUUGGGAUGGGCUCGCGGCCUAUCAGCUUGUUGGUGGGGUGAUGGCCUACCAAGGCGACGACGGGUAGCCGGCCUGAGAGGGCGACCGGCCACACUGGGACUGAGACACGGCCCAGACUCCUACGGGAGGCAGCAGUGGGGAAUAUUGCACAAUGGGCGGAAGCCUGAUGCAGCGACGCCGCGUGAGGGAUGACGGCCUUCGGGUUGUAAACCUCUUUCAGCAGGGACGAAGCGUAAGUGACGGUACCUGCAGAAGAAGCGCCGGCCAACUACGUGCCAGCAGCCGCGGUAAGACGUAGGGCGCGAGCGUUGUCCGGAUUUAUUGGGCGUAAAGAGCUCGUAGGCGGCUUGUCGCGUCGACUGUGAAAACCCGCAGCUCAACUGCGGGCCUGCAGUCGAUACGGGCAGGCUAGAGUUCGGUAGGGGAGACUGGAAUUCCUGGUGUAGCGGUGAAAUGCGCAGAUAUCAGGAGGAACACCGGUGGCGAAGGCGGGUCUCUGGGCCGAUACUGACGCUGAGGAGCGAAAGCGUGGGGAGCGAACAGGAUUAGAUACCCUGGUAGUCCACGCUGUAAACGUUGGGCGCUAGGUGUGGGGGGCCUCUCCGGUUCCCUGUGCCGCAGCUAACGCAUUAAGCGCCCCGCCUGGGGAGUACGGCCGC